RNAcentral lists this ribosomal RNA (1550 nucleotides) under Staphylococcus aureus. Its description in RNAcentral is "partial 23S ribosomal RNA". It matches the Rfam family "Bacterial large subunit ribosomal RNA", at positions 13 to 1561 of the family's 2925-position model. Lineage: Bacteria; Bacillati; Bacillota; Bacilli; Caryophanales; Staphylococcaceae. The record is from RNAcentral.
AAGGGCGCACGGUGGAUGCCUUGGCACUAGAAGCCGAUGAAGGACGUUACUAACGACGAUAUGCUUUGGGGAGCUGUAAGUAAGCUUUGAUCCAGAGAUUUCCGAAUGGGGAAACCCAGCAUGAGUUAUGUCAUGUUAUCGAUAUGUGAAUACAUAGCAUAUCAGAAGGCACACCCGGAGAACUGAAACAUCUUAGUACCCGGAGGAAGAGAAAGAAAAUUCGAUUCCCUUAGUAGCGGCGAGCGAAACGGGAAGAGCCCAAACCAACAAGCUUGCUUGUUGGGGUUGUAGGACACUCUAUACGGAGUUACAAAGGACGACAUUAGACGAAUCAUCUGGAAAGAUGAAUCAAAGAAGGUAAUAAUCCUGUAGUCGAAAAUGUUGUCUCUCUUGAGUGGAUCCUGAGUACGACGGAGCACGUGAAAUUCCGUCGGAAUCUGGGAGGACCAUCUCCUAAGGCUAAAUACUCUCUAGUGACCGAUAGUGAACCAGUACCGUGAGGGAAAGGUGAAAAGCACCCCGGAAGGGGAGUGAAAUAGAACCUGAAACCGUGUGCUUACAAGUAGUCAGAGCCCGUUAAUGGGUGAUGGCGUGCCUUUUGUAGAAUGAACCGGCGAGUUACGAUUUGAUGCAAGGUUAAGCAGUAAAUGUGGAGCCGUAGCGAAAGCGAGUCUGAAUAGGGCGUUUAGUAUUUGGUCGUAGACCCGAAACCAGGUGAUCUACCCUUGGUCAGGUUGAAGUUCAGGUAACACUGAAUGGAGGACCGAACCGACUUACGUUGAAAAGUGAGCGGAUGAACUGAGGGUAGCGGAGAAAUUCCAAUCGAACCUGGAGAUAGCUGGUUCUCUCCGAAAUAGCUUUAGGGCUAGCCUCAAGUGAUGAUUAUUGGAGGUAGAGCACUGUUUGGACGAGGGGCCCCUCUCGGGUUACCGAAUUCAGACAAACUCCGAAUGCCAAUUAAUUUAACUUGGGAGUCAGAACAUGGGUGAUAAGGUCCGUGUUCGAAAGGGAAACAGCCCAGACCACCAGCUAAGGUCCCAAAAUAUAUGUUAAGUGGAAAAGGAUGUGGCGUUGCCCAGACAACUAGGAUGUUGGCUUAGAAGCAGCCAUCAUUUAAAGAGUGCGUAAUAGCUCACUAGUCGAGUGACACUGCGCCGAAAAUGUACCGGGGCUAAACAUAUUACCGAAGCUGUGGAUUGUCCUUUGGACAAUGGUAGGAGAGCGUUCUAAGGGCGUUGAAGCAUGAUCGUAAGGACAUGUGGAGCGCUUAGAAGUGAGAAUGCCGGUGUGAGUAGCGAAAGACGGGUGAGAAUCCCGUCCACCGAUUGACUAAGGUUUCCAGAGGAAGGCUCGUCCGCUCUGGGUUAGUCGGGUCCUAAGCUGAGGCCGACAGGCGUAGGCGAUGGAUAACAGGUUGAUAUUCCUGUACCACCUAUAAUCGUUUUAAUCGAUGGGGGGACGCAGUAGGAUAGGCGAAGCGUGCGAUUGGAUUGCACGUCUAAGCAGUAAGGCUGAGUAUUAGGCAAAUCCGGUACUCGUUAAGGCUGAGC